AUUGAACGCUGGCGGCAUGCCUUACACAUGCGAGUCGAACGGCAGCGGGGGAGAAGCUUGCUUUUCCUGCCGGCGAGUGGCGAACGGGUGAGUAAUACAUCGGAACGUGCCCUGUAGUGGGGGAUAACUAGUCGAAAGAUUAGCUAAUACCGCAUACGACCUGAGGGUGAAAGCGGGGGACCGCAAGGCCUCAUGCUAUAGGAGCGGCCGAUGUCUGAUUAGCUAGUUGGUGGGGUAAAGGCCUACCAAGGCGACGAUCAGUAGCUGGUCUGAGAGGACGAUCAGCCAAACUGGGACUGAGACACGGCCCAGACUCCUACGGGAGGCAGCAGUGGGGAAUUUUGGACAAUGGGCGAAAGCCUGAUCCAGCAAUGCCGCGUGUGUGAAGAAGGCCUUCGGGUUGUAAAGCACUUUUGUCCGGAAAGAAAUGGCUCUGGUUAAUACCUGGGGUCGAUGACGGUACCGGAAGAAUAAGGACCGGCUAACUACGUGCCAGCAGCCGCCGUAA
Molecule: ribosomal RNA, 508 nt
Filed under: uncultured bacterium
Lineage: Bacteria
Description: partial 16S ribosomal RNA
Rfam family: Bacterial small subunit ribosomal RNA
Source: RNAcentral